RNAcentral lists this ribosomal RNA (423 nucleotides) under uncultured bacterium. RNAcentral's name for it is "bacterial SSU rRNA". It matches the Rfam family "Bacterial small subunit ribosomal RNA", at positions 355 to 775 of the family's 1533-position model. The record is from RNAcentral.
UGGGGAAUAUUGGACAAUGGGCGAAAGCCUGAUCCAGCAAUGCCGCGUGAGUGAUGAAGGCCUUCGGGUUGUAAAGCUCUGUCGGAGGGGACGAAAAAGCGGAUUAACAAACCGCAUUGACGGUACCCUCAAAGGAAGCACCGGCUAACUCUGUGCCAGCAGCCGCGGUAAUACAGAGGGUGCAAGCGUUGUUCGGAAUUACUGGGCGUAAAGCGCGUGUAGGUGGCGAUGUAAGUCGGGUGUGAAAUCCCUCGGCUCAACCGAGGAAGUGCACUCGAUACUGUGUCGCUUGAGUGUUGGAGGGGAUGGCGGAAUUCCCGGUGUAGAGGUGAAAUUCGUAGAUAUCGGGAGGAACACCUGUGGCGAAGGCGGCCAUCUGGACAACUACUGACACUGAGACGCGAAAGCGUGGGUAGCAAACAG